UACGGAGGAUCCGAGCGUUAUCCGGAUUUAUUGGGUUUAAAGGGUGCGUAGGCGGCCUAUUAAGUCAGGGGUGAAAGACGGUAGCUUAACUAUCGCAGUGCCUUUGAUACUGAUGGGCUUGAAUGUAGUUGAGGUAGGCGGAAUGUGACAAGUAGCGGUGAAAUGCAUAGAUAUGUCACAGAACACCAAUUGCGAAGGCAUCUUACUAAAGUAUGAUUGACGCUGAGGCACGAAAGCGUGGGGAUCAAACAGG
This 253-nucleotide ribosomal RNA is filed under the name uncultured bacterium. RNAcentral's name for it is "partial 16S ribosomal RNA". It matches the Rfam family "Bacterial small subunit ribosomal RNA", at positions 524 to 776 of the family's 1533-position model. The record is from RNAcentral.